Molecule: transfer RNA, 62 nt
Filed under: Cricetulus griseus (Chinese hamster)
Lineage: Eukaryota; Metazoa; Chordata; Mammalia; Rodentia; Cricetidae
Source: Rfam by way of RNAcentral
GGUGGCUCAAUGGUUAAGGGCACUGGCCACCCUUUCAGAAGAUCUGGGUUCAAUUCCCAGCC